RNAcentral lists this ribosomal RNA (465 nucleotides) under uncultured bacterium. Its description in RNAcentral is "partial 16S ribosomal RNA". It matches the Rfam family "Bacterial small subunit ribosomal RNA", at positions 338 to 795 of the family's 1533-position model. The record is from RNAcentral.
CCUACGGGCGGCAGCAGUGGGGAAUAUUGCGCAAUGGGCGAAAGCCUGACGCAGCGACGCCGCGUGAGGGAUGAAGGUCUUCGGAUCGUAAACCUCUGUCAGCAGGGAAGAACGGUCACUGUGCUAAUCAGCCGUGAAUUGACGGUACCUGCAAAGGAAGCACCGGCUAACUCCGUGCCAGCAGCCGCGGUAAUACGGAGGGUGCGAGCGUUAAUCGGAAUUACUGGGCGUAAAGCGCUCGUAGGCGGUAUGUCAAGUCAAGGGUGAAAUCCCCGGGCUCAACGUGGGAACUGCCUUUGAUACUGGCAGGCUGGAGUGUGUGAGAGGAGAGUGGAAUUCCAGGGGUAGGAGUGAAAUCCGUAGAGAUCUGGAGGAACAUCAGUGGCGAAGGCGACUAUCUGGCACAUAACUGACGCUGAGGAGCGAAAGCGUGGGGAGCAAACAGGAUUAGAUACCCUGGUAGUC